AGUGGCGAACGGGUGAGUAAUACAUCGGAACGUGCCCAGUAAUGGGGGAUAGCUCGGCGAAAGCCGGAUUAAUACCGCAUACGCCCUGAGGGGGAAAGUGGGGGACCGCAAGGCCUCACGUUAUUGGAGCGGCCGAUGGCUGAUUAGCUAGUUGGUAGGGUAAAGGCCUACCAAGGCGACGAUCAGUAGCUGGUCUGAGAGGACGAUCAGCCACACUGGGACUGAGACACGGCCCAGACUCCUACGGGAGGCAGCAGUGGGGAAUUUUGGACAAUGGGGGAAACCCUGAUCCAGCAAUGCCGCGUGUGCGAAGAAGGCCUUCGGGUUGUAAAGCACUUUUGUCAGGGAAGAAAUCCUUUGGGCUAAUACCCUAGGGGGAUGACGGUACCUGAAGAAUAAGCACCGGCUAACUACGUGCCAGCAGCCGCGGUAAUACGUAGGGUGCAAGCGUUAAUCGGAAUUACUGGGCGUAAAGCGUGCGCAGGCGGUUGUGUAAGACAGGUGUGAAAUCCCCGGGCUUAACCUGGGAAUUGCAUUUGUGACUGCACGACUAGAGUGUGUCAGAGGGGGGUGGAAUUCCACGUGUAGCAGUGAAAUGCGUAGAUAUGUGGAGGAACACCAAUGGCGAAGGCAGCCCCCUGGGAUAACACUGACGCUCAUGCACGAAAGCGUGGGGAGCAAACAGGAUUAGAUACCCUGAUAGUCCACGCCCUAAACGAUGUCAACUAGUUGUUGGGGAUUUACUUCCUUGGUAACGUAGCUAACGCGUGAAGUUGACCGCCUGGGGAGUACGGCCGCAAGGUUAAAACUCAAAGGAAUUGACGGGGACCCGCACAAGCGGUGGAUGAUGUGGAUUAAUUCGAUGCAACGCGAAAAACCUU
Molecule: ribosomal RNA, 881 nt
Filed under: uncultured bacterium
Lineage: Bacteria
Description: bacterial SSU rRNA
Rfam family: Bacterial small subunit ribosomal RNA
Source: RNAcentral